CUCCUCUCAGGAUCGCACCUGGAGAGUUUCCAGUACUCUACCAGUCUCGGCAACAGGAGGAAGAGUCAAGAUGAGGCCUACCCAUUCCAUUCCUAGCUUGGCCAGUGGCUAGUGAGUGGAAGACAAUCUGCUACAAGU
Ornithorhynchus anatinus (platypus) is the source of this 138-nucleotide small nucleolar RNA. NCBI's taxonomy places the organism in Eukaryota, Metazoa, Chordata, Mammalia, Monotremata, Ornithorhynchidae. The record is from RefSeq and is a predicted model, not a curated record.